ACUGUUCUUGGGCCUUUUUCUUUCCUGAUAAUGCUCUGGGGACCACCCUCACUCUUAGGAAUUAGAAUUGCUUUGAAGUUCUGACAAAAGUCCAAAAGUUCAGAGACUAGACACUUCCAGUAAUAUCCUAAGAUGUACUGACUUCAGGACACCUAUCAUCAUCAUUUACUAUAUGCCCUAAAUAUGGAAUGUGCUGUGCUGUAUUUCUAGAGUAUGAAUGAAAACUGAGGAAUUUUGCCUAAGCAAAUAAUUCGGGAUGUACAAGAAUUUAGGAAUAGCAUUGUUUCAUGCCAGAUUACUUGUGAAGGAUAAAGAAGCGGAGGUGAAACCUAGGGGAUGGCUGAUUGGGGAACUUUCAACAGACCAGACAACAGAAACUAAGACUAACAGUGAACGUGAAAGAAACACAUCCUUAUGCUAUUCCGGACCAAAUACCUGGACUCUUGUUGCUGACUGCGCUGCAGGGCUGCAAGCAGGGCAGUGUAUUGUCUCGUCUCAGAUGCCAGCAACCUGUUCUGUGAUGCCUGGCCCAACGCAGAGAAGCAGAGACACCAGAUAACCCCUUCUGCUCAUCCCCAAUGUCUCCAGUAAGCACCCUGAUGACCGCUCUUGACCACAUCCAUGCCUGUCCCUCCAGCGUCUGCUCCCUGGGCUGUCAGCAUCUCCAGAGCCCAUCUGUCCUUCCAACAGCCCUCCUCAGGGAACUAUAUUCACUUUAAAGGAAGAAGAAGAAGCUCAAAGACCUUAUGGGACAUCUGUGGGUCAUCGGAGAGCCCUGCAAGAAGCUACAUAGCCUACUAAGGGUCCUGCAAAGGGAACACAGACCACACAUCAGCAUUUAUUGAGGAUCUGCUCAAACAUGGAAGCCCGAGUCUCUAAGGAAGGAUGGUGACCCUUAUGUGAUAGAGGAAGAGAUGGAAGCUUGUUCUUCGCAGGUAAAUGUUUUACAGCCUCUCUCUGGAGAUAAAAGCCUUGAUGUGUAGCAUUUGCCGAUUUUCACGGUGUGACUACCUCCCUUGAAGCCAGUUUCAAUACCAACACAUCUCUGAAUGCUAAGGUUGGAAGAGCUGCACACAACCAGCCCUUGCCAGACAGGAUGAGCUGGCUCCAGCACCCACCGCUGAAAAAAAAAAUCAUUAAAACUCUACUCUUAAAAACUGAAGUGUUACACUUUUUGGAAAUAAUGACAGUCUUAGUGGGUUAUAGACAAAAUUAUAUUCAUAGAAUGUAACAUGCUCAUUGUUUAUUGAGCACCUAUCAUGUGCCAGAGACUUCGGAGGUGCUGGAAAGACUUCAGUGGAUAAGACAAGUCCCACCCAGGCUGUUUCCACCUGAGCGAGUGGUGGUGCCUCCGGCUGAAGGCGAGCACAGGGCAAGCUCAUUGGCUUGUUCAUGUUUUUUGAGAGCUUGGAGUC
Molecule: long non-coding RNA, 1415 nt
Organism: Canis lupus familiaris (dog)
Lineage: Eukaryota; Metazoa; Chordata; Mammalia; Carnivora; Canidae
Exons: 9
Source: RefSeq, a predicted model, not a curated record